CACAGGCAGCCAGAUGGUAGCAAGGCCUGGUACGGUGACAGAGGAAGAGGAUGAGCACGGGAUGUUGUCAAACGAAGACCUACUUUCUCUGGGUCUCCGCUAAAGACUGCGUUCACGUCCACCUGGAUCUGACCUGGUGUGGUCUCAUGUUCACACUCACCACCAACCUGGCCAUCUGGAUGGCGGCCGUGGUGGAUGAAUCUGUGCACCAAUCCCACUCCUACAGCAGUUCUCACAGCAACGCC
RNAcentral lists this long non-coding RNA (245 nucleotides) under Pan troglodytes (chimpanzee). RNAcentral's name for it is "long non-coding RNA NONPTRT006924". Lineage: Eukaryota; Metazoa; Chordata; Mammalia; Primates; Hominidae. The record is from RNAcentral.